AUUGAACGCUGGCGGCAUGCCUUACACAUGCAAGUCGAACGGUAACGGGUCCUUCGGGAUGCCGACGAGUGGCGAACGGGUGAGUAAUAUAUCGGAACGUGCCCAGUAGUGGGGGAUAACUGCUCGAAAGAGCAGCUAAUACCGCAUACGACCUGAGGGCGAGAGGGGGGGAUCGCAAGACCUCUCGCUAUUGGAGCGGCCGAUAUCAGAUUAGCUAGUUGGUGGGGUAAAGGCCUACCAAGGCAACGAUCUGUAGUUGGUCUGAGAGGACGACCAGCCACACUGGGACUGAGACACGGCCCAGACUCCUACGGGAGGCAGCAGUGGGGAAUUUUGGACAAUGGGCGCAAGCCUGAUCCAGCAAUGCCGCGUGCAGGAAGAAGGCCUUCGGGUUGUAAACUGCUUUUGUCAGGGAAGAAAUCUUCUGGGCUAAUACCCCGGGAGGAUGACGGUACCUGAAGAAUAAGCACCGGCUAACUACGUGCCAGCAGCCGCGGUAAUACGUAGGGUGCGAGCGUUAAUCGGAAUUACUGGGCGUAAAGCGUGCGCAGGCGGCUUUGCAAGACAGAUGUGAAAUCCCCGGGCUCAACCUGGGAACUGCAUUUGUGACUGCAAGGCUAGAGUACGGCAGAGGGGGAUGGAAUUCCGCGUGUAGCAGUGAAAUGCGUAGAUAUGCGGAGGAACACCAAUGGCGAAGGCAAUCCCCUGGGCCUGUACUGACGCUCAUGCACGAAAGCGUGGGGAGCAAACAGGAUUAGAUACCCUGGUAGUCCACGCCCUAAACGAUGUCAACUGGUUGUUGGACGGCUUGCUGUUCAGUAACGAAGCUAACGCGUGAAGUUGACCGCCUGGGGAGUACGGCCGCAAGGUUGAAACCCAAAGGAAUUGACGGGGACCCGCACAAGCGGUGGAUGAUGUGGUUUAAUUCGAUGCAACGCGAAAAACCUUACCUACCCUUGACAUGUCAAGAAUUCUGCAGAGAUGUGGAAGUGCUCGAAAGAGAACUUGAACACAGGUGCUGCAUGGCCGUCGUCAGCUCGUGUCGUGAGAUGUUGGGUUAAGUCCCGCAACGAGCGCAACCCUUGUCAUUAGUUGCUACGCAAGAGCACUCUAAUGAGACUGCCGGUGACAAACCGGAGGAAGGUGGGGAUGACGUCAGGUCCUCAUGGCCCUUAUGGGUAGGGCUACACACGUCAUACAAUGGCCGGUACAGAGGGCUGCCAACCCGCGAGGGGGAGCCAAUCCCAGAAAACCGGUCGUAGUCCGGAUCGUAGUCUGCAACUCGACUGCGUGAAGUCGGAAUCGCUAGUAAUCGCGGAUCAGCUUGCCGCGGUGAAUACGUUCCCGGGUCU
RNAcentral lists this ribosomal RNA (1352 nucleotides) under uncultured bacterium. RNAcentral's name for it is "bacterial SSU rRNA". It matches the Rfam family "Bacterial small subunit ribosomal RNA", at positions 28 to 1381 of the family's 1533-position model. The record is from RNAcentral.